UCUCUACAGCGGUUGUUACAGACAGUCCUGAAGUAGCUGGAAUAUAGCCAGCAAGGGCCCAGGUGGAGCAACAAUUCAUCUUGCAUCUGAAUGGAAUAUGAAGAGAGACAACUGAGAUGAUGCCUAAGAAUAAGGACACCCAUUGCUGAGCAAACAUUAGGGACUAGGUCCCAGAAGAGGAGACUUCAUGCCCAUCUCUCCAUCCCCACCACCAAAAAUGACAUUUAAGAGUCCAGAGACAUGAGAAAAAAAUGACAGGUAGCCACGCUGACAAGAGAAAUUAUCUAAGACCUAUCAACCAGCAAAAUGAUUCCUAAAAUUUACAGUGCAGGUAAGAUUCAUGAAGUUUUUUUUUUUAAUGUAUUUUUCUGGACACCGUACUGUGUGCCUAGUUUCAAGAAUGAGAGAAGUGGCCUAGAAUCACACUCUGCGGAGCUCUGCCCUCAUGAAUUCCCUGCUCAUUCUCUGCAUUUGCCUAUAAUGCCCAGAAUAUCUUUUUCCUACCUGGUUUUACCAAUGGGAUUAUACCCACUCUAGGUUUUAGGCUAUUCGCUGAAGCCAUUUUUUUUUUUUUUAAACUCUGGUACUUCCCUUAUCUAAGCUCCUGUAUUAUUUACUCUGAUAUCCAGUUCAGCACUUUGUUAAUGCUCAUUAUUGUCAAAGAUGUUAUUAGUCCUGUGUCCUAACUCACUUGAAUAAAGCUGCUCAACUACAUUAUACUUAUUUUUUUUUAACUAGGCCUAAUACAGUAGAAAGUAUACAAUUAUGACUGAUUUAAAGUCACCUGCAGAACUACUUCGUUUUCUAAGAGAGUGGAACUUAAAUGUUCUCACCAAAAACAAUAAAAAUAUAUGUAAGGUGACGGAAGGAAUCCUUUCACAAUGUAUAUGUAGAGCAAAUUACCACAAUGCACACUUUACAUGUCUUACAACUUACUUUGUCAAUUAUGCCUCAGUAAAGCUGGGGGUGGGGGAGGAAACCUACUUGGAACAAGGCAAGAAUAUAAGGAAUAAAUAAAAGAGCCUAUUAUAUCCAAUGCAGUUUGUGAGCAGUUUCGGGGAAUGGCUAGCUGAGGGGGAAAAAAAAAAAAAAAAUCUGCAGAAAGCUGUUAAAAGUUUAUCACGGACUUUAUGUGGAGUAAUCCAUAGAAAACUUAAGAUUAGUAGAUACUAGGCACUCAAAAAAUGUUUCUGUUCCAUAGAAAUGACCUGGCUUAAGGGCCAUAAUGGGACCUGAGAGGUUUGGGGAGCUUGGUCUAUACAGACCAUGAGUGCUUAAGGCUCCACCACAUUCUAAUCCUUUGUCCUGAUUAGAUAUUCAAGUCCUUAAAACAUACCUCACCCUGGGUCUGCUCUCCUUGCACAUUUUGAAUUUUCAUGCCAAUGACGUCUAACUUCCUUAAAAUUCUGAACCUGCCCUGCCAAACUAACUGUAUAUAACAAUGCAUAUCUAUAGUGCAGAAUAAACAAGAAUAUACUGAAUGUGUCUGCUCUGAAAAAGUACACCAGCUCAAAGAAGUUUAGAAAACAGUCAGUCAGACAACUCUUAAUGAAAGGACUUCUCAGAGUCCCUAAUUCACCAAUACAUACUGGAAAAGUUCUAACAGUAUUGGUACCUAAAAUUAUUUGCCCAUAAAGUACUUUUUCCCCAAGACACACUAAGCAGAGAAAAGCAAUAACCUCUGCACAUAUUGGUUCCAAUUUCUUACUCUUGCUCAUAAGUAUAUUCUUUCUGAACUACCCAUAUAAUCAGGAAAAAAAUGUUAUACACUCACACACAAAUGUGUACAAAUUAGCAGAUGCCAAGUUCAAACCACUAGUAUUCCAAGUCUAAACUGUAAAGGUAGUUCCAUAUCCUCCUAUGGACCU
This is a long non-coding RNA of Physeter macrocephalus (sperm whale), 1868 nucleotides long. RefSeq lists it as uncharacterized. The record is from RefSeq and is a predicted model, not a curated record. NCBI's taxonomy places the organism in Eukaryota, Metazoa, Chordata, Mammalia, Artiodactyla, Physeteridae. The transcript has 3 exons.